GGGCCGGUAGCUCAGUUGGUAGAGCAGUUGCCUUUUAAGCAAUUGGUCGCGGGUUCGAGUCCCGCCCGGCCCUCCA
RNAcentral lists this transfer RNA (76 nucleotides) under bacterium CG2_30_37_16. Its description in RNAcentral is "tRNA-Lys". It matches the Rfam family "tRNA". From Rfam's summary of the family: Transfer RNA (tRNA) molecules are approximately 80 nucleotides in length. Their secondary structure includes four short double-helical elements and three loops (D, anti-codon, and T loops). RNAcentral also lists the same sequence under 2 other names. The record is from RNAcentral.